GGUUAAUGUGCUAAGAGGAUAUGAGAUUGAAGCUGCUGGCACCCAGCUCUCCCUGCCACAGGGCAGAGAAUGGGGCCAAGGCAUAAAGAGAAGCAGAGCUCUGAGAAAUGGAAUGAGAGAGACCUGAUGACAUUGUUUGAGCCCCUGAGAUGAGCCUUGCCUGAGGGGUUCCCCAGCCCUGGAUCUGGCCUGCUCCGCCUUGCGAAGGCCCCACAGCUUGCUUACCUCAGCAAUUCACAGCGGAAGUGUGACAAACGUUCAUAGGCAAAUGUCAGGUCAGAUGUCAACUUGUUGCUCCACAGCCUUUCGGCAACAGCCCCUGCUCUGGGCCUGGAGGAAAAGGGGCAUGUGCCAGAUUGGGCCCUGUAUUCCCUGCAAAGGUGCUGGACAUCCACAGGCUGCUACCUCUUGUCUAGGCACCCUGGACUCACUCAGGCCAAAGGAAGUGAUCAAUACCUUGUUAUGAGCCACAGCCAGGUUGGAUGGCUCCCAGAGAGUUCUACGGCUCAGCUCCACCUUCAUUAAAAUGUGGGUAGCAAUCCCACUCUCUUCCUCUCUCAAAGAUAUGGGAAUAAGAAUAAACCUUAAAGCCAUCAUUAACCACAAUGACAGUGGCAGCAGCAGAGGUCCUUAAAAUGUAAACUUUGCACACCCAACCAUACUUGGUAAGGCUGCAGUGAAAACAGCAGAGGGAAGCCUUAUUACAGGAAUCAUGGAUGCUUGUGCUGGGUCUUGAGCAACUCACCUAUGUUCUCCAGGCCUCAUUAUCUCUCUGGGAAGUAAGGUUAACAAUCCCUAUCCCACAUACCAAAGGGCAGCUGGAGGGAUAUAGACGGAAGUCAUGUGGAGAGUGAAUAUUGCACACAAAUCUUCAGAAGGCUCGUUGCACGGCCUGCUCUCUCUCAGGCCUGAAAGAAGGGUACUAGUCCAGAGGUGGCUAGAUGGGAUUGGGUCUCUAAGGGAGAACUCCUGCUCUCAGGCCCAACCCUCCACCUCCCCCCCGAAAACCCUUACCAGAGCCUGGGGACCAGGUUUGUGUUGUCCACAUAUUCUCCCCACAUACAAGCCUCUCCACCAAUCACCAGAGCCUUCUGCUCAGGGGUACCUGAGGGAAAACAAGCAACAACAGUCUGGUGAUGGUGGGGUAACUCCAGGGUCCCUCUCAACCACCUUCCCAAUGUGGCCCUCACCCCAGCUAAGUUGUUUCAUUUACUAACUGGAAAUGUCUGGCCCAGACCUUCCUGCCUCCCAUCCUGUGCCCCAACCCAGCCUCCUUUGGUUAGCAAGGAGAGCUCUCUGCUUUCACCUUCAAAUGCCAGGGGUUCCACUAUGUAGAAAUCCUUCCAGUCAGGGCCAUAGGAUAUACGGUUCAGGUACCAGGGGGCAGAGAGAAGGGCCCGGAAGCCGGCCUUGGUGACCAGUUCCAGCUCCUUCAUAUAGUUCACUGGAAUAUCCUCUCGCCACACCUGUAUGAUUGUGUCUGGCUGAAUCUGUUAUAAAAGGUCAAAUGGCAGUAAGGACACAAAGCUGAGGAGAUUCCUGGGCCUUAUUCAUACACAGGCAACAUGGGACAACAGAUUCUACCCUGGUGGUCAGAUUCCUCAGCAUCCACUCUAGGCACAACUACCUGCAACGGCAUCUGAGAAAAAUGUGCCCUUACAUAGUCUAACAGUACAUAUUUUAAUAGUAAGAAGCAGCCUCCAUUGUCCAAAGUGAGUUCUUCCUAUCUAAAUUCCCAGGUGGAAGAAGUCGAUGGAAAACAUUCUUCUAAGGACCAAGGCUGGGAUAUGCCACUUCCAUGAGCCAGUGCCCUGAAGCUUCACUCUGAGCAUAACAAGCAGAGUCCCUCUGGUCCCAGACAUCAUUCUUACCUGGUCCCCAGGACAAAGUGUGGCCAGGAGUGUCAAACUCUGCAAGCACACGGAUACCCCGGAGCCGUGCGUAUUCAAUGACCUCCUUCACAUCCUGUGCUGUGUAGAUGUGGGUGACAGGGUUGUAGGACCCCUGAAAGGCACAAGACACCCUUCAGGUUCACACUUCCUGAAAGCUAGCAGAGUAGAAGAUACUCAAAAUGCCCACAAGACUCCCCAGAUAUCAGAAAACCUGCCCAUAGCCCUUUGGUGUCAGGGACUAUCUUCAAAAAACUUGAUCAUAAUUUCCCAGAAGUUAUCACAUCUGUUUUAUCUGAGUAUCAUAAUGCCAGUGAGAUAAUCAUGGUAGGUAUUAAUACUAUGUCCAUUUAACAGAAUAUAAAUACAUAAAAAGGGAAUAAGGCCAGAAGAGAUUCUCUCCUGAAGGUCACAAGGCAAAUUAUCGGCAAAGUUUUGGACUUGAACUCAAGUCUCCUGACUCCAAAUCCAGUGUCCUUCCCCUAUAUUGGUCUAAAACUGGCUGGUUAGGAUGAGAGACCCUGUUCUUGCCAGCAGGGCCACAGCCAGAUUCAGACAUUGACCCAUAAACUUGGUCUGAGUGAAACGGGAACAUACCUUUCUCAUGAGCUCUGGAAAAGUGAAGCUCUCAUAUGGGAAGGAAGGAUCAUCUACCAGAUGCCAGUGGAACACGUUCAAUUUAUUGUACGCCAUGACAUCCUGUAGGUUAAAGUGCACACUGUGAACCCAUCACAGUCUCUCCGGUUUCAGCCUCAAACUUGCGAUGUUGGGCGAGCUCUCAGGCCGCUCCACACACCCCUACAGGCUUGACCUGCCUCAGCUCUCAAUUAAGUAUUUAUGGGGUCUAUCAAACCUUCCCAUCAGGGAGGGAUGGCAUGGAGGGAAGGCCCAGCACACUUCUACUUUUCCCAGAACACAUCCAAAGAUGGAUGAUAGAAGUGGUCUUUCCUCUUCUUGAAAUAAAUUCUGGCCACAUUAAGAGGAGGGCUGCAGCUACUGUGGUAGCCUGGAAUCUUCCAAAAGCCUGAAGAUCAAUACUUCCUCUUGCCAUUUGUGUUCGGUUGUCUGACUGAUGUUAAGCCCAACUGUGAGACCUCCUGGGAACUUAGUAGCCUCUUAACUCAUAAUCUCAGAAGCAAAGGCUGGCAGAUGUGUGGCCUCCUUUGGUUCCGUCACAGGAGCAAAGGAAAAGGCAGACACAGGAACUGGAUUGGGAACUGUCAGAUAAGACUGCACAUUAAACUCAAGAGAGUUAGGAA
This is a long non-coding RNA of Homo sapiens (human), 3148 nucleotides long. Lineage: Eukaryota; Metazoa; Chordata; Mammalia; Primates; Hominidae. The record is from Ensembl.